UCAUUUCCUUCCUAAUCUUAAUUAUUCUCUCUCUACUUAUAAAUAUUCACCUAUUGUUAUAAUAAUUAUAAUAAAGAAGGGGAAUGAAGAGUUGCAAGGUAAUUAAUUAUGAGAGAAAUGUUCACUUUAUUGCUAUAUAAUUAUGAUAAUAAAAUAUAAAGAGAAUGAAGAGUUGCAAGGGUAAUAAAUUUUGAGAGCUAUAAUAUAAAAUAAAGAGAAUGAAGAGUUGCGAGGGUAAUAAAUUUGGAGAGCUAUAUAUAAUAUUUGUGUAGCAAAGAGGUGGCCAGCCGAUGGUCAUUAUUUUUGCAAAAAUGCAUGAUUAUUAAAUAAAAUUUUCAUUUUUCUCUAAAUACAUUAGUUGAUUACUUAUUACUUUCAUUGUAUUUUUUUGCUUUUUACAGAAGAAAAAUGUGUAUAAGUUCUAAAAGUUCAUACGGAGCAUGCAAUGAUGGAAAUGGAUAUUGGAAAUUUUCACGGAUCGGAGGUUGAAAUCCAUCUAUUCACAAAGUUAGUUUUUAACAUUAUCUAAUAUAUUUUCAUAUUUUGAGAAAAUUCUCUUUUAAUAUUUAGUUUUUAGGUAAUUGUCGGAGGAAUUCAAAUCGGUGCUUUCACUGAUUUACAUACUUUGGGUAAGUGAAUUGAACUCUCUUCUUCCUUUCUUUGUCAUUUCACAUAAUAUAAUAUAUAUAUAUAGUCGUUGCUUUUCUUUCUUCCAUUUAAUUUUUCACCUUAUUUUGUUAGAGCUUAAUUUUUCAUGUUUCAGAUCUGACCUAGCUAUCAUCUUUGGAAGAAAAUUAUUCUAGAUAAUAAUUAUGACCAUAUCUAACUAUUAUGUUGUUUACCUCAUUUUGCUCCAAUAUUACUUUUUUGGUUCCUUUACACUAGAUCUUCUAGGUACAGAAGAAAAAGAAUAUCAUUGUCUUUUUAGAACUGUUAGGGAUAGUAGCAUUAGUGUUGCAUUUGGAUCGAAGACGUCAUCAUAUGUGAUAAUAUUGAUAGAUAGAGAAUGAAUAUUUGGAAGACAAUAGAUUUUAUCACUAUGUAUGGAUUAGAAUGAAAUAAAAAUAUAUACUCUUUUAUACACUAAUAAUUUUUAUAUUUUAUUUUUUAUUCUAAUUGAUGUAGAUGAAGGAUACAUAUCUCUCGAAG
This 1149-nucleotide long non-coding RNA is filed under the name Solanum tuberosum (potato). RNAcentral's name for it is "long non-coding RNA (STUB_LNC007751)". The record is from RNAcentral. Lineage: Eukaryota; Viridiplantae; Streptophyta; Magnoliopsida; Solanales; Solanaceae.